ACUUGGCUGGCUCAGCCAGUAGAGUAUGUGACUCUUGAUCUCAGGGUCAUGAGUUCAAGCCCCAUGUUGGGCA
Molecule: transfer RNA, 73 nt
Filed under: Ailuropoda melanoleuca (giant panda)
Lineage: Eukaryota; Metazoa; Chordata; Mammalia; Carnivora; Ursidae
Rfam family: tRNA
About the family: Transfer RNA (tRNA) molecules are approximately 80 nucleotides in length. Their secondary structure includes four short double-helical elements and three loops (D, anti-codon, and T loops).
Source: Rfam by way of RNAcentral